This 221-nucleotide ribosomal RNA is filed under the name bacterium enrichment culture clone ALO1_GLFRUDD03GEUV3. RNAcentral's name for it is "partial 16S ribosomal RNA". It matches the Rfam family "Bacterial small subunit ribosomal RNA", at positions 9 to 225 of the family's 1533-position model. The record is from RNAcentral.
GAGUUUGAUCUUGGCUCCCAGAUUGAACGCUGGCGGCAUGCCUUACACAUGCAAGUCGAACGGCAGCACGGGAGCUUGCUCCUGGUGGCGAGUGGCGAACGGGUGAGUAAUGCAUCGGAACGUAUCCUGGGAUGGGGGAUAACGUAGCGAAAGUUACGCUAAUACCGCAUAUUCUCGUGGAGCGAGGAAAGCGGGGGACCUUCGGGCCUCGCGCUCUUGGA